This 1504-nucleotide long non-coding RNA is filed under the name Scleropages formosus (Asian bonytongue). RNAcentral describes it as "lncRNA (ENSSFOG00015032501.1)". The record is from RNAcentral. Lineage: Eukaryota; Metazoa; Chordata; Actinopteri; Osteoglossiformes; Osteoglossidae.
AGGCCCUGCAGUCAUGUUAUGUUUUCGAUGUCGUGUGGCAAACCAAAGAUAUAAAUCUGGUGAGAGCAGGCAGUGUCAGCCAGAUUGGUCAAGCGAGCCUUGGACCCGUUCUCCUGACUUGGUUCUUCAUGAUCUUCAUAAGGAUGCAAACGUUGACUCUUUUGAGUUUCCUGCUGUGCACCAGCCAGGUGGUAUCUGUUUACCUGUCUAGGACACUGAAACAGAAUGCCGAGGAGUCUCCCUCCCCAACCAAGGACAGCAACUCCACUUCCACUAGUUUCUCUAUGGAGUCUCCCUCCCCAACCAAGGACAGCAACUCCACUUCCACUAGUUUCUCUAUGGAGUCUCCCUCCCCAACCAAGGACAGCAACUCCACUUCCACCAGUUUCUCUAUGGAGUCUCCCUCCCCAACCAAGGAGAGUGACUGUAAUUCCAAAAGUUUCUUGUUACUCCUGACUAAGUGUAUCAAGUUCCCCAGAGUGACCGGUGUGCUGAGAGACAUAGGGAAUCGUUCUUCUUCACCAUGGGAAUAUGCGAGGUACAGCAAUGAGGACAUGGUCAAUGGAUGGUUCAUAGAGCAAGCCCAGUGCAAGACAAAACAUUGCAAUAGCCAAUACAAUUCCGUCCCCUUAAACUACGAGUUCCCCGUUGUCUUCCGCCGACAGGAUCGCAUGGAACUGGUGAUGAUCACUCUCACCGCAGGCUGCACUUGUGUACGCAGGAAAGAGCAGCACUGAACAUCUGCACGCACUAAAUACAUCAGCUCACCCACAAAAAAAGAAGAAUAAUUCUCCAUUACUGCCCUCUCAGACUGACCACAAAGCAGUUCCAUUUCAAAGAGCAUUUCACAUAUCAUCGAACACCUUCAUAGAUACCCAUUUAUUCAUUUAGCUGAUGCUUUUCUCCAAAGCACCUUACCAUGUUAAAGUACUUAAUGAUUAUAUACCCAUUUGUACAGCUGAGUACUUUUAGUGGAGCAAUUUUAGAGUAAAUACCUCACUCAAGGGUACUACAACGGGAGCUGAGAAUCAAACCAAUGACUUUUGGGUUCAACGGUAGUAGCUCUUACCGCUAUGUUCCUAGGUGUCCCUGUUUGUACAUAGAGUUGGUAUGGAGCUUUAUUGUUCAUAAUUAUAGUCAGGUCACAGUCAUAAAAGUGCUGAGGAUCUUUGCGUGGCUUCAUUAAGUCCACACAGCAGGUCAGAGCACUUACGUGGACCAGAGCUGAACCCCUUUAUUCAGCAGGUCACUAAAAAUCAGUUAUUUGGUCCGGAGCUCAUGGUUACGACGUUAGACCCCCUCCCCAAGGAACUUUGACCCAGGAUCAUACACAAAAUUGAACACCAGCUGGUACUCAAUGUGAUCCGUCAACAAGAGUAAGACCUCAGAAAGGACACAAAUUAUUUUUAAAGCUGCCAACUUUGGUUCAUGUGAAAUUCUAAAGUCAGAACUGAAAAAUCUGUAGUAUUUAAGGACCUAUGAACUAACAAGAAAAAUCCUGCCG